CUAAAAGAAAGUUCUAUGAAUUUUCUCUUUGUUAAUGAGAAGGGGUAACUUUUGUUUUAUUUAGU
RNAcentral lists this transfer RNA (65 nucleotides) under Oribatula sp. XFX. RNAcentral describes it as "tRNA-Asn". The record is from RNAcentral. Lineage: Eukaryota; Metazoa; Arthropoda; Arachnida; Sarcoptiformes; Oribatulidae.